UUAAAAUACUUUUUUUUAGGAGUGAAUACAUGAGUAUGUAUUUUUUAUCAUUUGUUAUAUCCUACAAAAUUAUUAAAUACUUUUAAUGGGAACCAUAAUUUU
This 102-nucleotide ribosomal RNA is filed under the name Ochromonas danica. The record is from RNAcentral. Lineage: Eukaryota; Chrysophyceae; Chromulinales; Chromulinaceae.